CUCGUAGGCGGCCAACUAAGUCAGACGUGAAAUCCCUCGGCUUAACCGGGGAACUGCGUCUGAUACUGGUUGGCUUGAGUGUGGGAGAGGGAUGCGGAAUUCCAGGUGUAGCGGUGAAAUGCGUAGAUAUCUGGAGGAACACCGGUGGCGAAGGCGGCAUCCUGGACCACAACUGACGCUGAGGAGCGAAAGCCAGGGGAGCAAACG
Molecule: ribosomal RNA, 207 nt
Filed under: uncultured bacterium
Lineage: Bacteria
Description: partial 16S ribosomal RNA
Rfam family: Bacterial small subunit ribosomal RNA
Source: RNAcentral